Molecule: ribosomal RNA, 435 nt
Filed under: uncultured Bacteroides sp.
Lineage: Bacteria; Pseudomonadati; Bacteroidota; Bacteroidia; Bacteroidales; Bacteroidaceae
Description: bacterial SSU rRNA
Rfam family: Bacterial small subunit ribosomal RNA
Source: RNAcentral
GGAAUAUUGGUCAAUGGGCGAGAGCCUGAACCAGCCAAGUAGCGUGAAGGAUGAAGGUCCUACGGAUUGUAAACUUCUUUUAUACGGGAAUAAAGUUUCCUACGUGUAGGAUUUUGUAUGUACCGUAUGAAUAAGCAUCGGCUAACUCCGUGCCAGCAGCCGCGGUAAUACGGAGGAUGCGAGCGUUAUCCGGAUUUAUUGGGUUUAAAGGGAGCGCAGACGGGAGAUUAAGUCAGUUGUGAAAGUUUGCGGCUCAACCGUAAAAUUGCAGUUGAUACUGGUUUCCUUGAGUGCAGUUGAGGCAGGCGGAAUUCGUGGUGUAGCGGUGAAAUGCUUAGAUAUCACGAAGAACCCCGAUUGCGAAGGCAGCUUGCUAAACUGUAACUGACGUUCAUGCUCGAAAGUGUGGGUAUCAAACAGGAUUAGAUACCCUGG